GGGGCAGUAGCUCACCGGUAGAGCCCCCGCUUCGUACGCGGGAAGACCUGGGUUCGAUUCGCGGCCGAUUUC
Molecule: transfer RNA, 72 nt
Filed under: Toxocara canis (dog roundworm)
Lineage: Eukaryota; Metazoa; Nematoda; Chromadorea; Rhabditida; Toxocaridae
Rfam family: tRNA
About the family: Transfer RNA (tRNA) molecules are approximately 80 nucleotides in length. Their secondary structure includes four short double-helical elements and three loops (D, anti-codon, and T loops). Further hydrogen bonds mediate the characteristic L-shaped molecular structure. tRNAs have two regions of fundamental functional importance: the anti-codon, which is responsible for specific mRNA codon recognition, and the 3' end, to which the tRNAs corresponding amino acid is attached (by aminoacyl-tRNA synthetases). tRNAs cope with the degeneracy of the genetic code in two manners: having more than one tRNA (with a specific anti-codon) for a particular amino acid; and 'wobble' base-pairing, i.e. permitting non-standard base-pairing at the 3rd anti-codon position.
Source: Rfam by way of RNAcentral